Molecule: non-coding RNA, 1388 nt
Organism: Heterocephalus glaber (naked mole-rat)
Lineage: Eukaryota; Metazoa; Chordata; Mammalia; Rodentia; Bathyergidae
Source: RefSeq, a predicted model, not a curated record
CUUUUACAUUCAGAUUUUUAAUCCAUCCAGACAUUUGUGAAUAACAUGGAAACAGAGGUGGAAUUUCUCCCCAAGUGGAGAGUUAAUGUCCUGGCAGCGUUUAUGGACUAAUCAGUUUAACAGUUCACCAAAAGUAAAUUACUAUUACCAGAGAAAGGGGUAGAAAAGGGGAUUCUGGGCAGAGAACAAACACAAGUAAGUGUGUGCCAGUGCAUAAAAUUUGCUUCCCAAAUUUUAGCGCCUGUAAUCUAAGAAGCAGCCACAAUUAGAUGGUGAAGAGCAUAUUCCGCCAACAGAGAGCUCGCUGUGUUUAAGGAAGACAGAUCUCAUUUCAUGGAGACAAGUUUCUGGUUUGAGUCCAAGAUGCAAGAAGGUGGCCACUGAGACCUUAGCAGAGCCUCCAAAUCUCAGAAAAGUGCCUAGGGAGCAAAGGAACACUUCCAUGGUGAUCAACCAAAUACAAAGCCAAGUCCUUUGUUGUGAUAAAACUCAGAUGCUUACCUUGGAGAGAGAGGUUGUCAUGGCAACCCUUUCAGAGACAAGGUCUUCACCAGAGACCAAUUGUUUCAACUCUGGAGAACAAUCUUUGCUUCUGUGAUGACAGUUAAAGCCCAACAGGCAGGCCAAACCCAACAGCACCAGUCUGAACCACAGGAAGGCCUUUCACUGGAUUUCAGAACACUUCAAAAAUCCUAACACAAGGACUUAAGGGUUCUAAACUAUUAUCUUUUGGUGUCUCCAACCUGUUUUUGAGUCCCCGGUACCUGGAGUCUGACAGACCCAGGCUGACAGUCCCUGGGCAGGGGAUACACGUAACAGAAGCUGGAAAAUUAGGCACAAAGAGAGGAAAAGCACAUUACAGAAAUCGAUUGCCUCGAUCCCCCUGAUGACAAGCUGAGGAUACCAGUGAAAAUUGAUGAAACAAGGCACAGAUGUUUAAGUGAGCUAUUUAAUGUUACAAAGGUAACCAUCAUGGCCGACAACAAAAUGUAAAUAAGAAAAGGAAAGGGGUUGGGGUGAACACACCGAAUCCUCUUUGGUCAUGCUGAGGAGUCAGUCUGUAAUGUCUAUGGAGUAGAAAUACAGGUAUAUUAAUUAUAGCAGGGGACAUGAACACUAGAAAAGCUAAAUGAAAAAUGGUGUAAUGUGACUGAAAGCAGAAGAUCAAGAGGCAGCCAUUAGAAGCCAUUCUCUUUUAGAGAAUUAUUAAAUUAUUAAAUUUAAUAAUUUAAAUUUUUUACUGAUGAUAACUUCAUGAUAUCUGCUAUAGUUUGAAUCUUCAUGGUGCCACAAAGACCCAGGUGUUAAAGAUUUGGACUGCAGGGUAGAGCUACUUGGAGGUAGUAGAAGCUUUAGGAGGUGGGGCCUAGUGAGAAGUCUUUAGGUCA